This 851-nucleotide ribosomal RNA is filed under the name uncultured Mycoplasmatales bacterium. RNAcentral describes it as "bacterial SSU rRNA". It matches the Rfam family "Bacterial small subunit ribosomal RNA", at positions 49 to 902 of the family's 1533-position model. The record is from RNAcentral. Lineage: Bacteria; Bacillati; Mycoplasmatota; Mollicutes; Mycoplasmatales.
UAAUACAUGCAGUCGAACGAAAUAUUUUAUAUUUUAGUGGCGAACGGGUGAGUAAUAUAUUCCUAAUCUACUCUAGUGUGGGGAAUAACUAUUGGAAACGAUAGCUAAUACCGCAUAGGAUUUUUAUAGGCAUCUAUAAAAGUUUAAAGGCGCGCUUUGUAGCGUCGCUCUAGAAUGAGGGAAUAUCACAUUAGCUUGUUGGUAAGGUAAAAGCUUACCAAGGCGAUGAUGUGUAGCCAAACUGAGAGGUUGAUUGGCCACAAUGGGACUGAGACACGGCCCAUACUCCUACGGGAGGCAGCAGUAGGGAAUUUUCCACAAUGGACGAAAGUCUGAUGGAGCAAUGCCGCGUGAGGGAUGAAGGUCUUCGGAUCGUAAACCUCUGUUGUGAAGGAAGAAUAACUUAGAUAGUAAAUGAUCUAUGUUUGACGGUACUUUACCAGAAAGUCACGGCUAACUAUGUGCCAGCAGCCGCGGUAAUACAUAGGUGGCAAGCGUUAUCCGGAUUUAUUGGGCGUAAAGAGUGCACAGGUGGUUUAUCAAGUCAGUUGUUAAAUACCAAGGCUCAACCUUGGCUCGCAAUUGAAACUGAUAGACUAGAAUAUCGGUGGGGGUAGUAGAAUUCCAUGUGUAGUGGUGGAAUACAUAAAUAUAUGGAGGAAUACCAGUGGCGAAGGCGGCUACCUGAACGAUUAUUGACACUUAAGCACGAAAGCGUGGGGAGCAAAUAGGAUUAGAUACCCUAGUAGUCCACGCCGUANACGAUCUAGACUAGACGUUGGGAUAACCCAGUGUCACAGCUAACGCAUUAAGUCUAGCGCCUGGGUAGUAUGCACGCAAGUGUGAAACUC